CCUACGGGUGGCAGCAGUGAGGAAUAUUGGUCAAUGGACGAGAGUCUGAACCAGCCAAGUCGCGUGAAGGAUGACUGCCCUAUGGGUUGUAAACUUCUUUUAUAUGGGAAUAAAAUGUUCCACGUGUGGGAUUUUGUAUGUACCAUAUGAAUAAGGAUCGGCUAACUCCGUGCCAGCAGCCGCGGUAAUACGGAGGAUCCGAGCGUUAUCCGGAUUUAUUGGGUUUAAAGGGAGCGUAGGUGGAUUGUUAAGUCAGUUGUGAAAGUUUGCGGCUCAACCGUAAAAUUGCAGUUGAAACUGGCAGUCUUGAGUACAGUAGAGGUGGGCGGAAGUCGUGGUGUAGCGGUGAAAUGCUUAGAUAUCACGAAGAACUCCGAUUGCGAAGGCAGUUCACUGGACUGCAACUGACACUGAGGUUCGAAAGUGUGGGUAUCAAACAGGAUUAGAUACCCUUGUAGUC
RNAcentral lists this ribosomal RNA (460 nucleotides) under uncultured bacterium. Its description in RNAcentral is "partial 16S ribosomal RNA". It matches the Rfam family "Bacterial small subunit ribosomal RNA", at positions 338 to 795 of the family's 1533-position model. The record is from RNAcentral.